RNAcentral lists this ribosomal RNA (274 nucleotides) under uncultured Eubacteriales bacterium. RNAcentral's name for it is "uncultured Clostridiales bacterium partial 16S ribosomal RNA". It matches the Rfam family "Bacterial small subunit ribosomal RNA", at positions 68 to 339 of the family's 1533-position model. Lineage: Bacteria; Bacillati; Bacillota; Clostridia; Eubacteriales. The record is from RNAcentral.
AGCUUAGAGAGCUUGCUUUUUAAGCUUAGUGGCGAACGGGUGAGUAACGCGUGAGCAACCUGCCUUUGUGAGGGGGAUAACACAGGGAAACUUGUGCUAAUACCGCAUGACGCAUACGAAAGACAUCUUUAGUAUGUUAAAGGAGCAAUCCGCAAAAAGAUGGGCUCGCGUCCGAUUAGCUAGUUGGUGAGGUAACGGCCCACCAAGGCGACGAUCAGUAGCCGGACUGAGAGGUUGACCGGCCACAUUGGGACUGAGAUACGGCCCAGACUCC